UAAAUCCCUUGCCAAAGCCUGAUCUCGUCAGAUUUCAGAAGCUAAGCAGAGCUGGGCCUGGUUAGUUUUUUGGAUGGGAGACAACUGGGAAUACCAGUUGC
RNAcentral lists this ribosomal RNA (101 nucleotides) under Periophthalmus magnuspinnatus. The record is from RNAcentral. Lineage: Eukaryota; Metazoa; Chordata; Actinopteri; Gobiiformes; Gobiidae.